AUACGUAGGGUGCAAGCGUUAAUCGGAAUUACUGGGCGUAAAGCGUGCGCAGGCGGUUUUGUAAGACAGUGGUGAAAUCCCCGGGCUCAACCUGGGAACUGCCAUUGUGACUGCAAGGCUGGAGUGCGGCAGAGGGGGAUGGAAUUCCGCGUGUAGCAGUGAAAUGCGUAGAUAUGCGGAGGAACACCGAUGGCGAAGGCAAUCCCCUGGGCCUGCACUGACGCUCAUGCACGAAAGCGUGGGGAGCAAACAGGAUUAGAUACCCUGGUAGUCCACGCCCUAAACGAUGUCAACUGGUUGUUGGGGAUUUAUUUUCUCAGUAACGAAGCUAACGCGUGAAGUUGACCGCCUGGGGAGUACGGCCGCAAGGUUAAAACUCAAAUGAAUUGACGGGG
This 395-nucleotide ribosomal RNA is filed under the name uncultured bacterium. RNAcentral's name for it is "partial 16S ribosomal RNA". It matches the Rfam family "Bacterial small subunit ribosomal RNA", at positions 523 to 918 of the family's 1533-position model. The record is from RNAcentral.